UGUUGGUUUUUAAAGAAAUUCUAAGCAUCUAGGUGUCUUUUUUCCCCCCUUCUCUUUAACUGUUAAGAAAGUUGUCUUUCCGGUGUUGUUCUAUGUAAACUUCAGGAGUAUUUGUGGGUUUUGCAUGUUUUGUAUGAGUUCAGUUUAAACAAUGCAUUUAAAUCACCUGGGAUGUCCGAUUCUGGCACGUCUUCACUGUUUGUGUUUUAAACAUGUUUCAUGUGUUUCCAAACCUCACUUGGUAUCUUACUUGAGAUCAUUGAAGUUGAUUUGGGAUAUUUGCUUUACAAGUGUUUUUUCAAGCAGUUCUUAACACAGUGUUUAGAUGUUUCCUGGGCUGUUUAUAUGCUCAGUUUGCCCUGAACAAAGUGGUGGUCUUACUAAGAUUUAAAUUCUUAAUAUAAAACAAGUUCUACGUUUAAUCUAUAGUUCAGCUUGUUGCUGAAUCCAAGACAAUGCUAAUGCUAAUUCUUGUGGUGUGUUCCUGACCAGUGCCCUCUAGUAUGCUUGUGAGUUUCCAGGUUUCUUCCCACAGUGCUAGGAGAUCAUUUACUGUUACAAAACUUUUCCAAAUCGGAAUGAAGGCUGUGAGAGAAGCAAGGUGGGGAAAUCACACCAUCCACUGCAGUUUCUGUUCAAGGUGCGUGAAAGACCCUCCCAAAUAUCUAGUGAUUGUAAAGGUGCUAGGGGGAGCCUGAAUCCAAAGGAACACACAGGCAGGAGAGCUAGGUCUCCUGGCUAAGACUCCCUGGACUCCACUGCACCCUCUGUACCUAGGGUACGUUAGACACCUCCCUAUUAUGUUUCCAUGGACACACAUAGGCUAUUAUAGGCACGUGCUUUCUGAAGUGAGGAUCUCGCUGUUGAAGAUUUAUUUCCUAGUUUGGGCUGUACCAAAUUGUGAAUACUCGCUGUGUUGUACCCAGUUGCUUUAUAUUAAUACUGCAACUUGAAUUGGGGUGGGUGGGUGGGGCAGCAGGGUGUGGGAGGGAGGGUAAUGGAAUAAAGUCUUUUGAAGACAUCAGCUCACACUGUGCUGAGAGAGGGACCAAACUCAAGGAAACCUCUGAUCUAUAAAUUCAACUGCUGCAUUUUUUAUAAAUACAUGUAAAUGUCCUGUUGUAAUAUUUGAUCUUGGAAAUAAAAAAAAAACUUUUCAGU
RNAcentral lists this long non-coding RNA (1161 nucleotides) under Mus musculus (house mouse). Its description in RNAcentral is "long non-coding RNA chr16:32392585-32393746". The record is from RNAcentral. Lineage: Eukaryota; Metazoa; Chordata; Mammalia; Rodentia; Muridae.